UUCAGGGCUAACCUGCAGUCUCAGAUCAAUCGGAUUGAACAGAGGGUCUGUGAAUGGCUCCUUACAUCAGCAGUCAUCCUCGUGAUAGUGUGUGGCUGGCACCCCGUGCAAUGGUGCCCAUUGGGACAUCCUCAAAAACCUUGUGGCUAAUACCCGNNCGCNGCAGUCAACCCCAGCACAGGGGCCGGCCUUCCCUGGCCGGCCUCCUGGUGGUGGAUCAUGCCCAGCUGAGACGAAGACCAGCUGCCCGUUCCAAGGGGCAGUGUGUUGAGGGUUGACUCAGGCUGGACUCCCAUCUGGGGAACGGCCAUUCUGGCAGAGUUGGUGGCCUCGUGCCACAUCGUUUGAUCACAGGUACUUCUGACCUAUCACCUUGGAUUGUGAGGUAGUGGCUCAACAAUGGCAGUAACGGGUAACGGAGAAUCAGGGUUCGAUUCCGGAGAGGGAGCCUGAGAAACGAGCUACCACUACCAAGGUGGGCAGCAGGCGCAGCAAAUUGCCCAAUACACGUCCCUUUGCGUGAGCACGGACGGAACCGCAGCAAUCUCGCUGGCCUUCUGUGCCAGUGGUCUUUGGAAUGGAUGCAACCCAAACACAGCCAUGAGUAUCGACUGGAGGGCAAGUCUGGUGCCAGCAGCCGCGGUAAUUCCAGCUCCAAGAGCGUACACUAUCAUUGCUUCUGUUAAAACACCUGUAGUCUACCACUGGGUCCCGGUCUGCUGGGUGGCUGGCACCAGGGGUGUGGGGGUGGGGUCCUGCCUNGGCACNAUCCCAANGGUGUGUCCGGGGACCCGCAUCCCCCCUUGAGGAAUACCGGUGAAGAUGCUCCNUGCUGCAAGCCCCCUUCACUGGGGGCCCAGGCGGACACGCCCUCCACGCAGGCACGAUCGCAGACACCCUCCCAUGGGCUGUGUGCCCUGGACCACAGCUCCGUCUGUGGCUGCUGCUCGCCACAGGAGCCCACCUGACCUUGAUACCCUGGAAAACUCAGUGUGCUCAACGCAUCCUGCCCGUCACGGCUGGAUGCUCAUCCAUGGAAUGUCGCAGCAUCGACCUAGUGAGGCUCAGUGUUUGUGCUGGCCUUGGGGCCCACCCAGGGCAAUGUGGUGCAUGGUUCUGGACUGGACGGAGGGGGGCCGUGCUGGCUCGCCCACACGUGUCUCUCCAACUAAGGUAUCUGCAAACCAUGUGCUGACCGGAGAUGAUGGAACCAACCAGGGUGAAAGGUAUUGGACCGCCAGAGGUGAAAUUCUUAGACCGUUCCCAGACCCACUGGAGCGAUGGCGUUCUGCAGGCCUGGGUUCGUCGAUCAAGGAUGAGAGUCUGGGGAACGAAGAUGAUCAGACACCGUCGUAGUCCAGCACCGUAAACAGUGCCAGCAAGGCCUCAGCAGGGCCCCUUCCAAGACCCUGCUGGUGCCACUCCCCUACCAACGAGAAAUCCACAGCCUGUGGGUUCAGGGGGGAGUACUGUCGCAAGGCUGAAACUUAAAGGAAUUGACGGAAUGGCACCACAAGGCGUGGAGUAUGCGGCUUAAUUUGACUCAACACGGGGAAUGUACCCAGGU
RNAcentral lists this ribosomal RNA (1567 nucleotides) under Euglena terricola. RNAcentral describes it as "bacterial SSU rRNA". It matches the Rfam family "Eukaryotic small subunit ribosomal RNA", at positions 37 to 1223 of the family's 1831-position model. The record is from RNAcentral. Lineage: Eukaryota; Euglenozoa; Euglenophyceae; Euglenales; Euglenaceae.